AUUUCUUCAUGUAUUUCUGUGUAGAGUUUUGUCUCCUCCUCCCUCGUCUCUUCUUGAAGUGUGAAACGACUGUUUAAACACAGGAAGUGUCUGUUUUAGUGCACACAGCACUGUUAAUACAGACUAUUAAUGUGUCAGUAUGGGGUCCAGCGCACUGCUUCUCAAACUCUUGCUGAUUUCCCUCAUCUACUCUGAACUCAGUCGAGGUGAAACAACCGUUUCUGGAAACAUUCAAGAAAUAACUCAUGGAAAAUUUGCCAUGCUUAAGUGGAGGAUUGUAGAAAUACAGAGAAGCACCCAGCUGCAGCCUGCAGAUCGAGGCGGGGCUGCACCUGGGGCGGGGCUCCACGUGUAGCCCCGCCCCAUACCUACUCUGAUUGGUUCGAUCAUCUUUCUUAGACAUACAUGAUAGGAAAUCCAAUAGUUAAUGUAGGACGGAGUAUGUUGUUUAAAAAGCUAAAAAACGCUGUACAGUUUUACAAAGCCUUCAUUAUAAUGCACAGAAGAAAUAAAACAUUAGCCUGUAACCCUCCA
This is a long non-coding RNA of Cyprinus carpio (common carp), 534 nucleotides long. Lineage: Eukaryota; Metazoa; Chordata; Actinopteri; Cypriniformes; Cyprinidae. The record is from Ensembl.